Non-coding RNA from Triticum urartu, 125 nucleotides. NCBI's taxonomy places the organism in Eukaryota, Viridiplantae, Streptophyta, Magnoliopsida, Poales, Poaceae. The record is from Rfam.
CUUGUAAUCCUUCCGUCCUGAAAUACUUGUCAAAGAAAUACAUAAAAAUGGAUGUAUCUAGAACUAAAAUACGUCUAGAUACAUCCAUUCCCCCGACAAGUAUUUCUGGACGGAGGGAGUAUUUA